Molecule: ribosomal RNA, 433 nt
Filed under: uncultured bacterium
Lineage: Bacteria
Description: partial 16S ribosomal RNA
Rfam family: Bacterial small subunit ribosomal RNA
Source: RNAcentral
AACGAACGCUGGCGGCAUGCUUAACACAUGCAAGUCGAACGAAACCUUCGGGCCUAGUGGCGCACGGGUGCGUGAGGCGGGGUAAGCAGCACGUAGGUUCGGAAUAACUGCCCGAAGGGGGAGCUAAGAACGGUUAAGGUAAUCGGACCAAGGAUCUAUUGCUGUUGGAUGGGGGCGGGUUAGAUUAGCUAGUUGGUAGGGUAGAAGCCUACCAAGGGGACAAUGCAUAGCUGGUCUGAGAGGAUGAUCAGCCACACUGGGACUGAGACACGGCCCAGACUCCUACGCGAGGCAGCAGUAGAGAAUAUUGGGCAAUGGGCGAAAGCCUAGUCCAGCAAUGCCGCGUGAGUGAUGAAGGCCUUAGGGUUGUAAAGCUCUUUUACCCGGGAUGAUAAUGACAGUACCGGGAGAAUAAGCACCGGCUAACUCCGUG